GGUUUGUGGCUCAGUGGUAGAGCACUUGCCUAGCAUGUGUGAGGCCCUGGGUUUGAUUCUCAGCACCA
RNAcentral lists this transfer RNA (68 nucleotides) under Marmota monax (woodchuck). Its description in RNAcentral is "tRNA.Ala". The stretch from base 5 to 65 matches the Rfam family "tRNA", at positions 6 to 65 of the family's 71-position model. From Rfam's summary of the family: Transfer RNA (tRNA) molecules are approximately 80 nucleotides in length. The record is from RNAcentral. Lineage: Eukaryota; Metazoa; Chordata; Mammalia; Rodentia; Sciuridae.